GACGAACGCUGGCGGCGUGCUUAACACAUGCAAGUCGAACGGAAAGGCCCUGCUUUUGUGGGGUGCUCGAGUGGCGAACGGGUGAGUAAAACGUGAGUAACCUGCCCUUGACUUUGGGGUAACUUCAGGAAACUGGGGCUAAUACCCGAUAGGAGCUCCUGCUGCAUGGGGGGGGGUGGAAAGUUUCGGCGGUUGGGGAUGGGCUCGCGGCUUAUCAGCUUGUUGGUGGGGUAGUGGCUUACCAAGGCUUUGACGGGUAGCCGGCCUGAGAGGGUGACCGGCCACAUUGGGACUGAGAUACGGCCCAGACUCCUACGGGAGGCAGCAGUGGGGAAUAUUGCACAAUGGGCGGAAGCCUGAUGCAGCAACGCCGCGUGCGGGAUGACGGCCUUCGGGUUGUAAACCGCUUUCGCCUGUGACGAAGCGUGAGUGACGGUAAUGGGUAAAGAAGCACCGGCUAACUACGUG
This 468-nucleotide ribosomal RNA is filed under the name uncultured bacterium. Its description in RNAcentral is "partial 16S ribosomal RNA". It matches the Rfam family "Bacterial small subunit ribosomal RNA", at positions 28 to 507 of the family's 1533-position model. The record is from RNAcentral.